GGGGAUUUGGCUCAGUGGUAGAGCGCUUGCCUAGGAAGCGCAAGGUCCUGGGUUCCAUCCCCAGCCCCU
Molecule: transfer RNA, 69 nt
Filed under: Rattus norvegicus (Norway rat)
Lineage: Eukaryota; Metazoa; Chordata; Mammalia; Rodentia; Muridae
Rfam family: tRNA
About the family: Transfer RNA (tRNA) molecules are approximately 80 nucleotides in length.
Source: Rfam by way of RNAcentral